Molecule: long non-coding RNA, 1767 nt
Organism: Oncorhynchus mykiss (rainbow trout)
Lineage: Eukaryota; Metazoa; Chordata; Actinopteri; Salmoniformes; Salmonidae
Source: Ensembl
AUGCCUCGCUGUAUGUCUCUCUUAAAUGUCAAUAUGCCUUGUAUACUGUUGUUCAGGUUAGUUAUCAUUGUUUUAGUUUACAAUGGAGCCCCUAGUUUCACUCUUCAUACCCCUGAUACCUCCUUUGUCCCACCUCCCACACAUGCGGUGACCUCACCCAUUACAACCAGCAAGUCCAGUGAUACAACCUCUCUCAUCAUCACCCAGUGCCUGGGCUUACCUCCGCUGUACCCGCACCCCACCAUACCCCUGUCUGCGCAUUAUGCCCUGAAUAAAUUCUACCAUGCCCAGAAACCUGCUCCUCUUAUUCUCUGUCCCCAACGCUCUAGGCGACCAGUUUUGAUAGCCUUUAGCCGCACCCUCAUUCUACUCCUCCUCUGUUCCGCGGGUGAUGUGGAGGUAAACCCAGGCCCUGCAUGUCCCCAGGCACCCUCGCAUGUCAACAUCAGAAGCCUCCUCCCUAAGUUUGUUUUACUCACUGCUUUAGCACACUCUGCUAACCCUGAUGUCCUUGCCGUGUCUGAAUCUUGGCUCAGGAAGGUCACCAAAAAUUCUGAGAUUUCCAUACCCAACUAUAACAUUUUCCGUCAAGAUAGAACUGCCAAAGGGGGAGGAGUUGCAGUCUACUGCAGAGAUAGCCUGCAAAGUAAUGUCAUACUUUCCAGGUCCAUACCCAAACAGUUCAAACUACUAAUUUUGAAAAUGACUCUCUCCAGAAAUAAGUCUCUCACUGUUGCCGCCUGCUACCGACCCCCCUCAGCUCCCAGCUGUGCCCUGGACACAAUUUGUGAAUUGAUCGCCCCCCAUCUAGCUUCAGACUUUGUUCUGUUAGGUGACCUAAACUGGGAUAUGCUUAACUCCUCGGCAGUCAUACAAUCUAAGCUAGAUGCCCUCAAUCUCACACAAAUCAUCAAGGAACCCACCAGGUACAACCCUAAAUCUGUAAACAAGGGCACCCUCAUAGACGUCCUCCUGACCAACUGGCCCUCCAAAUACACCUCCGCUGUCUUCAACCAGGAUCUCAGCGAUCACUGCCUCAUUGCCUGUAUCCGCUACGGAGCCGCAGUCAAACGACCACCCCUCAUCACUGUCAAACGCUCCCUAAAACACUUCUGUGAGCAGGCCUUUCUAAUCGACCUGGCCCGGGUAUCCUGGAAGGACAUUGACCUCAUCCCGUCAGUUGAGGAUGCCUGGUCAUUCUUUAAAAGUAACUUCCUCACCAUUUUAGAUAAGCAUGCUCCGUUCAAAAAAUGCAGAACUAAGAACAGAUAUAGCCCUUGGUUUACUCCAGACCUGACUGCCCUCGACCAGCACAAAAACAUCCUGUGGCGGACUGCAAUAGCAUCGAAUAGUCCCCGCGAUAUGCAACUGUUCAGGGAAGUCAGGAACCAAUACACGCAGUCAGUCAGGAAAGCUAAGGCCAGCUUCUUCAGGCAGAAGUUUGCAUCCUGUAGCUCCAACUCCAAAAAGUUCUGGGACACUGUGAAGUCCAUGGAGAACAAGAGCACCUCCUCCCAGCUGCCCACUGCACUGAGGCUAGGUAACACGGUCACCACCGAUAAAUCCAUGAUUAUCGAAAACUUCAACAAGCAUUUCUCAACGGCUGGGCAUGCCUUCCGCCUGGCUACUCCAACCUCGGCCAACAGCUCUGCCCCCCCCCGCAGCUACUCGCUCAAGCCUCUCCAGGUUCUCCUUUACCCAAAUCCAGAUAGCAGAUGUCCUGAAAGAGCUGCAAAACCUGGACCCGUACAAAUCAGCUGGGCUUGA